GACGAACGCUGGCGGCGUGCUUAACACAUGCAAGUCGAACGGUGAAGCGCCUUCCUUUUUGGUGGGUGUGGAUGAGUGGCGAACGGGUGAGUAACACGUGAGUAACCUGCCCCCUUCUUCUGGAUAACCGCAUGAAAGUGUGGCUAAUACGGGAUAUUCUGGGUCUGUCGCAUGAUGGGUCUGGGAAAGAUAUUGUUUCGGUGGGGGAUGGGCUCGCGGCCUAUCAGCUUGUUGGUGGGGUGAUGGCCUACCAAGGCGGUGACGGGUAGCCGGCCUGAGAGGGUGGACGGUCACACUGGGACUGAGACACGGCACAGACUCCUACGGGAGGCAGCAGUGAGGAAUAUUGCACAAUGGGCGCAAGCCUGAUGCAGCGACGCCGCGUGAGGGAUGGAGGCCUUCGGGUUGUGAACCUCUUUCGCCAGUGAAGCAGGCCUGCCUCGUUUGUGGGUGGGUUGACGGUAGCUGGAUAAGAAGCGCCGGCUAACUACGUG
RNAcentral lists this ribosomal RNA (494 nucleotides) under uncultured bacterium. RNAcentral's name for it is "partial 16S ribosomal RNA". It matches the Rfam family "Bacterial small subunit ribosomal RNA", at positions 28 to 507 of the family's 1533-position model. The record is from RNAcentral.